AACGCUAAGGUUUUUUUUUUUUAAUUUCGAUAAAUAGUAUUAAAUUUGGAACUGGGAAUACAUUUGUACAAUGUGCACAGUGAAUAUUUGUUGUAAAUAGUUUACAAAUCCAAGUAAUUGUAACGUUAGAAGUUGUUGAAUGUGCAAAUAAAAGUUACGUCUCACAAUCUUACAACGGUGAAAUGUUAUCAGCGGGUUUCCUGGAUGAACUACAUUUGGACAGUGGAGGAAGGUCCAUGAGUCUGAACUCUCUGGCGGGGGCCAAAAACAUAACUUUAUCCCUGCUUCCCGGUUUCUGCCGGUUGUUGUUUUCGCUGUUCGCCGGUAAUGCACGUGAGUACGGCUCAUGUGUGUGGUUGUGAGAUCAUCUCGAAAUCAUUUUAACAGUUCAGAUAUCGGACUACAAAGAGUGCUACAGAGAGUCAGCGUUUCACCAUCAGACAGGUGCCAAUAGGCUGAAGUUGGCCCAAUGGAGUGGAAGUGCAAGUUGUGUUCUGCAACAUCAAAUACCUGGGGACAAUUAUUGCACUUCCUGUGUACCUGCGUGGAGAUGCCUCCAAGUUCUUCAGGACCUGUAAUUCAGCAGAUGGUCCAGACCUCACUGACACUCCGGUGGCUCUGCUGACAGUUGAUGACACUACUGAUGCGGCCCUCUUCAGCCCUGAGAGCAUCUGUAUUGUCGUGGAGGAUGAAAUACUUGUGAGUGGUCCCACAAAUCUGGCCGACUCAUUUCUCCUGCUCCUUGGGUACGUCUAUGCACUAGACCUACAGUACCCAAAGAAUCUCGAACUUACAUUCACAUUUAUCCAAAAAGUUGUGAUGUGUCUUGAGGACAACAAACCACUGAAAGGGCGUCUAAUGACGCUGAAGAAUGAUUUGUUCAAUGAGUGAAUCACUCAGAAUGGAUUUUUUGUUGAG
Molecule: long non-coding RNA, 918 nt
Organism: Triplophysa rosa
Lineage: Eukaryota; Metazoa; Chordata; Actinopteri; Cypriniformes; Nemacheilidae
Exons: 5
Source: RefSeq, a predicted model, not a curated record